UAACGACUCUCGGCAACGGAUAUCUCGGCUCUCGCAUCGAUGAAGAACGCAGCAAAAUGCGAUACUUGGUGUGAAUUGCAGAAUCCCGUGAAUCAUCGAGUUUUUGAACGCAAGUUGCGCCCGAAGCCUUCCGGCCGAGGGCACGUCUGCCUGGGUGUCACGC
RNAcentral lists this ribosomal RNA (163 nucleotides) under Dalechampia hastata. RNAcentral's name for it is "5.8S ribosomal RNA". It matches the Rfam family "5.8S ribosomal RNA". From Rfam's summary of the family: 5.8S ribosomal RNA (5.8S rRNA) is a component of the large subunit of the eukaryotic ribosome. It is transcribed by RNA polymerase I as part of the 45S precursor that also contains 18S and 28S rRNA. RNAcentral also lists the same sequence under 1 other name. Lineage: Eukaryota; Viridiplantae; Streptophyta; Magnoliopsida; Malpighiales; Euphorbiaceae. The record is from RNAcentral.